RNAcentral lists this ribosomal RNA (452 nucleotides) under Haemophilus influenzae. RNAcentral describes it as "bacterial LSU rRNA". It matches the Rfam family "Bacterial large subunit ribosomal RNA", at positions 1565 to 2000 of the family's 2925-position model. Lineage: Bacteria; Pseudomonadati; Pseudomonadota; Gammaproteobacteria; Pasteurellales; Pasteurellaceae. The record is from RNAcentral.
GAUGACGAGGCUCUACGGAGCUGAAGUAACUCAAACCACAAUUACAGGAAAAGCCACUAAGCGAAAGGCUUUACAAAACCGUACUGAAAAACGACACAGGUGGUCAGGUAGAGAAUACUCAGGCGCUUGAGAGAACUCGGGAGAAGGAACUAGGCAAAAUAGCACCGUAACUUCGGGAGAAGGUGCGCCGGCGUAGAUUGUAAGGGCUAGCCACUGAAGGUUGAACCGGUCGAAGAUACCAGCUGGAUGCAACUGUUUAUUAAAAACACAGCACUCUGCAAACACGAAAGUGGACGUAUAGGGUGUGAUGCCUGCCCGGUGCUGGAAGUUAAUUGAUGGUGUCAUCGAAAGAGAAGCACCUGAUCGAAGCCCCAGUAAACGGCGGCCGUAACUAUAACGGUCCUAAGGUAGCGAAAUUCCUUGUCGGGUAAGUUCCGACCUGCACGAAUGGC